AUGAUGUCUCACUCUGUCACCCAAGAUGGAGUGCAAUGGCACGAUCUCAGCUCACUGCAACCUCUGCCUCCCAGGUUCAAGCAAUUAUCCUGCCUCAGCCACCCGAGUAGCUGAGAUUACAGGCCUCUGCCACCAUGCUCAGCUAUUUUUUGUAUUUUUAGUAGAGACGGGGUUUCACCAUGUUGGGCAGGCUAGUCUUGGAACUACUGACCUCAGGUGAUCCGCCCACUUUGGCCUCCCGAAAGUGCUGGGAUUACAGUCAUGAGCCACCAUGCCCAGCUUAUUGAUGCUGAUUCUUUAAGGGUGACUGGACGUGUUGAUCAGCGCUCGCUGGGAUUUGGCUGACGUGGCCCCAACCCCGCCUCCCUCCCCACCCCACAAUGGCAGAAGAAACUCGACAGUGUAAAUUAGCUGCAGCCAAGAAAAAGUUCAAAGAAUAUUGGCAGAGAAACCGCCCUGGUGUUCCAGCAGCAGCGAAGAGGAACAGGAAAGCAAAUGGCAGUAGCCCUGAGACGGCCGCUUCUGGUGGUUGCCAUUCAUCUGAGGCUGUGAGUCUUGCCUGGACAGGCUUUUGGGGACAGGGGGCCCAAGGAGCAGUAGAGGGCAAUCGUUAAGAUUGUGGAUGGACUGUUGGGUACUGGUGAAGGAUUCUGGAUUUGGCCGGGCACGGUGGCUCACGCCUGUAAUCCCAACACUUCGGGAGACCAAGGCAGGUGGAUCACAAGGUCAGGAGAUCGAGACCAUCCAGGCAAACACGGUGAAAUACUAAAAAAUACCAAAAAAAAAGCCGGGCGUGGUGGCGGGCGCCUGUAGUCCCAGCUGCUCCGGAGUCUGAGGGAGGAGAAUGGCGCGUGAACCUAGGAGGCGGAGCUUGCAGUGAGCCAAGAUCACGCCACUGCACUCCAGCCUGGAAGGCAGAGAGAGACUCCGUUUCAAAAAAGAAAAGAAUUCUGGGUUUGAAUCCUGCCUCUCCGUCUGCUAGGGAUAUGAUUUAGGGCAAGUUGCCUGAGCUCUUUGGGCCUCUGUUUUCACGUCUGUAUGAUAGAGGUGGUAUUGUUUGACUUGUAUUUGUGAAGUUUAAAUGAGAUUUAUAAUUGUCGAUUUUAUGUUAAUCCCUAGUACAUGGCCUGCUGUCAACACCCAGGACACCCAGGAUAUGGUCUUUGCUGUUUGAUUUUCCUCAUCCCCAGUCUCAAGGGGAAGCCAGGACAAUGAGAACAGCCACUUCCCAUCAGGAGUCACUGCAAGGGCCCCAGGGUGGGAUGGUGGGGAGAUGAGAACCAUGAGAGAAGUUGGCACAAAGGAGUUACGGGACAAAGGGUCCAAGAUAGGCAGAAAAGAAAAUGUUGCCAGUUGAUGGGGAAGAAAGGAAGUCGGAGGGCUCAGACACUGAGGGGGACAGAACAUCUCCAUGUGCACUCUCAUCUCUUAUAGUCAGCAACAGGUAUCCAUGGGUAGGGCCCUACAUCAUCUGCUACCCUGAAGGAUCUGGAGGUAGGAGGCUCUGGGCGGAGGUGCAGUGACCCCGCAGGCCAGCCCUCCAACCUCCUCCCGCAGCGGGGACUGGGUGCCCCUCUGCCAGCUGAGACAGCCCACACACAACCCAGCCCUAAUGAUCGUUCUCUCUACCUCUCCCCCAAGUCCUCCUCCGCCUCCUCCUCUCUGCAUGCGCCUCAGAGCCCGUGCCAAGAACAAGCAGCAGUCCUGGACUCGAGGUCCAUAAAAAUCAGUCGACUGAAUGACACCAUCAAAUCUUUGAAACAACAGAAGAAACAAGUGGAACAUCAGCUGGAAGAAGAAAAGAAAGCAAACAAUGAGAAACAGAAAGCUGAAAGGGAGCUAGAGGGUCAAAUCCAGAGAUUGAACAGAGAGAAAAAGAAACUAAAUACGGACCUGUAUCACAUGAAACAUUCUCUCAGAUACUUUGAAGAAGAGUCCAAGGAUCUGGCCGGCCGCCUGCAACGUUCAUCGCAGCGUAUAGGAGAGUUAGAGUGGUCUCUCUGUGCUGUCGCCGCCACACAGAAGAAGAAGCCGGAUGGGUUCUCGAGCUGCAGUAAAGCACUUCUCAAGCGGCAGUUAGAGCAGUCCAUACGGGAGCAGAUACUGCUGAAAGGACACGUGACACAGUUGAAGGAGUCGCUUAAAGAAGUCCAGCUGGAGAGAGAUCAAUAUGCUGAACAAAUAAAAGGAGAGAGGGCCCAGUGGCAGCAGAGGAUGAGGAAAAUGUCGCAGGAGGUUUGCACAUUGAAGGAGGAGAAGAAGCAUGAUACGCAUCGGGUAGAGGAGCUGGAGAGGAGCUUGUCCAGACUCAAAAACCAGAUGGCUGAGCCACUGCCCCCGGAUGCCCCAGCAGUGUCCUCUGAGGUGGAGCUGCAAGACCUGAGGAAGGAGCUGGAGAGAGUGGCAGGAGAGCUCCAGGCUCAGGUGGAAAACAAUCAGUGCAUCAGUCUCCUGAACCGUGGGCAAAAGGAGAGGCUUCGCGAGCAGGAGGAGAGGCUUCAGGAGCAGCAGGAGAGGCUUCGGGAACAGGAGAAGAGGCUUCAGCAGCUGGCCGAGCCACAGAGCGACUUGAAGGAGCUGAAGAACGAGAACAAGAGCGCACUGCAGUUGGAGCAGCAAGUAAAGGAGCUGCAGGAGAAGCCGGGCCAGGUGACGGAGACGCUCACCUCGGCCGAGAAGGAGCCAGAGGCAGCAGUCCCAGCCUCAGGGACUGGGGGCGAGUCUAGCGGCCUUAUGGACCUCCUGGAGGAGAAGGCGGACCUGAGGGAGCAUGUGGACAAACUGGAACUUGGAUUCAUCCAGUACCGGAGAGAGAGAUGCCAUCAGAAAGUACAUCGCCUUCUAACAGAGCCAGGGGACAGUGCCAAAGAUGCGGCACCGGGAGGAGGCCAUCAUCAGGCUGGCCCAGGACGAGGAGGAGAGGAAGGUGACGCUGCUGGAGCUGCAGGAGAUGGUGUUGCGGCUUGUGGCAACUACAGCGAGGGGCACGGCAAAUUCCUGGCCGCUGCCCGGAACCCUGCUGCUGAACCCAGUCCAGGAGCCCCAGCCCCCCAGGAGCUCGGGGCUGCCAACGAGCGUGGUGAUCUUUGUGAGGUGAGCCUCACCAACAGCGUGGAGCCUGCACAAGGAGAAGCCAGGGAGGGUUCUUCCCAGGACAAGCCUACUGCACAGCCAAUCGUGCAGCUCCUUGGUGAGAUGCAGAACCACCAGGAGCACCCAGGCUUGGGCAGCAACUGCUGUGUGCCAUGCUUUUGCUGGGCUUGGCUGCCGAGAAGGAGGAGAUAAACACCACCAUCAUCAAAGAGCUGCUCAAGAAAUUUUUAAAAACAAAACAAAGUUAUGGGGUUAAUCUCCUACAUGAUUCAUUUACUUCAUUUGAAUGUUAGAGCUACUCAUGAUUAUUUGUGUUUCUAAUUUAUAGUUUAAGUUUAUUUGUAAAAAGUUAAAAGAGAGUGGGUCUCUGUGGCUCUCACUGAUGUUCACUCUGGCAUCCUUUAGCAUUUUUCUUUUUUCAUUUCAUAAUUGUAGGUCAUUAGCAUGCAUAUCGAGUUUGCCCUUACGUGGUGGGAGUUCAAACACACAAAGACCCACUCUUUGCACAAAACUGUUCUCACUGGUUUGGAAUAGGCUCCCGUGCUUUUUUAAUGUUAUUGCAGCAUGUAUGUUCAUUACAGAAUUCAGAUAAAAUUUGCUAAUGUUCUGCUAUGAUGUUUGAUCUCAUCUUAAUCACAGUGAGCUCUUCAAUAGCUCAAUAUGCGGUUUGCCCUCAAGUGUACACUGUUUAUUACUUUGUAAUAUGCUACUAUGAGUACUGACAUUUAGAGCUGUUUAAAGGCCGAGAACUGGAAACAGCCUUUCCUCCAUUUUCUGUGUAUUGGUGAUGGGAGUGAUAACCUUUUGGGGGAGCUUUCUAAAUCUCACAGAAGAGGAAAGUGGCCUGCUCUGGCAGGUAUGUGCAGGAUAGAGUGUGUUUCAUCUGUUCCGGUGCCAGGAAUUAGCACUGUACUGUGGCAGUUCCCUUUGGAUUUGUAUGUGCUCUGGGCUCAUGAAGAUAUUGCAUCGUGAGCUGCAGCAGUUGCACUCUUUUUCAAUGACCUAAAAAGGGCUUAUUUCCGAGGAAUGAAAGGCUGCCAUCAUUGGCUGUGGGUGUGGAAAACCUUUCCUAGCUUAGAGCAUUUGUAUCUAUAAUACAUUUUAAAGUCAGAGUUCGUGUUACCUGUUUUAAUCACAUGACUACCUGUCCCAGUACACGAAAGGGUGCUGGUUGGCAUUCUUCUUAAUGUAUUUAGUAAAGAUCAUAAGAAAUCCUUUAAGAGUUUAAAUGUCUCUGAAACAGGCAUACAGGCUCUAGUCAAGAAUGAAUUAGAGUGAAGGAAAGCUGUGUGACACCUGGCAUUCCUCUCUGUUCAUGGAGCUGCUUUGAGGCUUAAGAUUGAUUUUACCAUCUAGACCUCUCUGGCUAAUACCUAUUCUUCAACCACCUCGGUUACUCUGACAUAGGAAUUUACUUAUUUUCCUUGAGUGGAAAACACUUUAGAAAAUAAUAACAAACAUUAUUAUAAACUAAUAUAUGUGAGAGUACUUAGUUGAAACAAAAAGGAAUUUUAGUAGACAGUAUUAUAUUAUCUUUGAAAAUCAAGGAGAAGUUUAUGCAACUUAAAAUGUUUACACACUGUGGUGCAAUCUACUGUUUGUGAAUGUCUGUAUUAUCAGGAAACAUGUCUAUACGGUCGCAGAGUUGUAUUUCCUCACAAACUUCUUUACGAAGAGUGAAAUACGUUUUUGUACCUCUCAGUUUCAGUCAGGGACAUAUUUUGUGCAAUAUUUCUGUGAUUGUGCCUAUGCGUGAUGAAUGAAUGCAUUUCAGUCAUACAUUGCCUAAAUCAUAACUUGAUGAUGCUUGGGAAAGAAUCAACAGUUAAAACUUCAUGAAGUUCUAAUGUCUGUGUUCCAAAACACAUCACAUUAUUGGUUGUAGGGAGAUAUGUAUGUGUGCUCCCUGGGGUGGGGAGUUUUCUAGUUACUAGACCAUCUCCAUUUUUAGCACUUGGCAUCCUCAUGAUCCUUUUAUAAAUAUGAGAUUAACAGGAGAGCAGCAAUACGAUUUUGCCAAUGGAAUAACAGAUUUGCCAGCAUUCACUGAAAGAGGGCAGAUAUUGGGUCCUUGUAACUUCAACUGACUCUUCCAAAUUGUAUGAAUUUAUCAAUGUAUUACAUAAAUCCAGUUUCAGAAUGAUAAAAAAUGUUAGACCAAA
RNAcentral lists this small RNA (5255 nucleotides) under Pan troglodytes (chimpanzee). RNAcentral describes it as "retained intron". The record is from RNAcentral. Lineage: Eukaryota; Metazoa; Chordata; Mammalia; Primates; Hominidae.